UCCUGGUGGCGAGUGGCGAACGGGUGAGUAAUAUAUCGGAACGUGCCCAGUCGUGGGGGAUAACGCAGCGAAAGCUGUGCUAAUACCGCAUACGAUCUACGGAUGAAAGCGGGGGAUCGCAAGACCUCGCGCGAUUGGAGCGGCUGAUAUCAGAUUAGCUAGUUGGUGGGGUAAAGGCCUACCAAGGCGACGAUCUGUAGCUGGUCUGAGAGGACGACCAGCCACACUGGAACUGAGACACGGUCCAGACUCCUACGGGAGGCAGCAGUGGGGAAUUUUGGACAAUGGGCGCGAGCCUGAUCCCCCCAUGCCGCGUGCAGGAUGAAGGCCUUCG
Molecule: ribosomal RNA, 334 nt
Filed under: Comamonadaceae bacterium
Lineage: Bacteria; Pseudomonadati; Pseudomonadota; Betaproteobacteria; Burkholderiales; Comamonadaceae
Description: bacterial SSU rRNA
Rfam family: Bacterial small subunit ribosomal RNA
Source: RNAcentral